RNAcentral lists this ribosomal RNA (502 nucleotides) under uncultured bacterium. RNAcentral describes it as "partial 16S ribosomal RNA". It matches the Rfam family "Bacterial small subunit ribosomal RNA", at positions 29 to 522 of the family's 1533-position model. The record is from RNAcentral.
AACGAACGCUGGUGGCACGUUUUAAGCAUGCAAGUCGAACGGCAGUGGGGGCAACCCCAUGAGAAUGGCGAACGGGUGAGUAACACGUAGGUGAUCUGCCUGACGGAUGGGGAUAGCUUGUGGAAACACAGGGUAAUACCGAAUGAGCUGACGAGACUUUGGUUUAGUUAGUAAAGGUGCUACGGCACCGCCGACAGAGGAGCCUGCGGCUGAUUAGCUAGUUGGUGGGGUAAAGGCCUACCAAGGCGACGAUCAGUAGCCGGCCUGAGAGGGUGUACGGCCACACUGGAACUGAGACACGGUCCAGACUCCUACGGGAGGCAGCAGCUAAGAAUCUUCCGCAAUGGGCGAAAGCCUGACGGGGCGAUGCCGCGUGAUCGAUGAAGGUCGAGAGAUUGUAAAGACCUUUUCUACAUGAGGAAUAAGUCUGGGAGGGAAUGCCUGGAUGAUGACGUUAGUGUAGGAAUAAGCCCCGGCUAAUUACGUGCCAGCCGCCGCCGUA